RNAcentral lists this non-coding RNA (22 nucleotides) under Arabidopsis thaliana (thale cress). The record is from RNAcentral. Lineage: Eukaryota; Viridiplantae; Streptophyta; Magnoliopsida; Brassicales; Brassicaceae.
CAAACAUAAUUGCGUUGGCGCC